UACAGAGGUCCCAAGCGUUGUUCGGAUUCACUGGGCGUAAAGGGUGCGUAGGUGGUCAGGUAAGUCGGAUGUGAAAUCUCCGAGCUCAACUCGGAAACUGCAUUGGAAACUACCUGGCUCGAGGGUUGGAGGGGGGACUGGAAUGCUUGGUGUAGCAGUGAAAUGCGUAGAUAUCAAGCGGAACACCAGUGGCGAAGGCGGCUCUCUGGAACGCAACUGACGCUGAGACGCGAAAGCGUGGGGAGCAAACAGG
This 253-nucleotide ribosomal RNA is filed under the name uncultured bacterium. RNAcentral describes it as "partial 16S ribosomal RNA". It matches the Rfam family "Bacterial small subunit ribosomal RNA", at positions 524 to 776 of the family's 1533-position model. The record is from RNAcentral.